Molecule: long non-coding RNA, 1159 nt
Organism: Coregonus clupeaformis (lake whitefish)
Lineage: Eukaryota; Metazoa; Chordata; Actinopteri; Salmoniformes; Salmonidae
Exons: 5
Source: RefSeq, a predicted model, not a curated record
CUGAAGGAGGAGACCAGCCUCCUUGAAGAAAAGCAGGCAGAGCUGGACAUCUACGACGCUGUGCUCCAGGAGUGGGUUGCUGAGGUGCAGCAGUGGCCUGAAGCCACACUUCAGGAUAGUCAGACAGGGCAGACGGGGCAUCUCCAGAAGAAGAUUGAGGGGCUUUACCUCAUUGUGAAACAGAGGAAACACUACCUAUACCGUUUGACAGAGGAGGCAUCAGAUUCUGAGAAAUUGUUAUGGACAAGGCAGCCUUAACAGCUGCCAUUGUUCAACUUCACGAGCAGCAGGCAGAGUUUAGGCUCCCCACAGUGGCUGCUCAAUACUGACAACUUUGUGUGGCCAUGGGAGAGACUUGGCACCAGCAACAGCCAUUUUGCCAUCAAAAAGGCAAUCUUCAACAGACUGAUGUUGGUGAACAGACUGCAGGAGGAAGAGAGGAUCCUGGUGCAGGAGAUGAAGAAGCACUGGGGGAGCCUACAAAGAGCAGCGGGAACUCUGGAGGCACUGUCCCAACAGCUGCAAGAUCAGAGGAAGUUGAGGCAAUGCAGUGGAGUUGUCAGAGGGAGGAAUGGCCUUCUCUGCCACCUGAAGAGAAGAGUGAGUUAACUGACACAAGAUCAAGACAACACCAGGAACACCUACCACAAGCUGAUUCUGGGAGAAGGGGCUUUUUGAUGACUCUGAUGUAGAUGAAGUUAGAAGUCCUAUUGCUGAGAGCUCAGAUGACGACUGCUAUGCUUUCUGAAAUCAUACACCACCCUGCCUCUUUCUCUCGGUCUUGCUCUCUCCCGCAGGAGAGGGAGAAGGCAGCCACCACCUCCCUCGGGAGCAGCCUGGUCUUCCGACGUUGACCCCUGACUCCUCACCUUCUGAACCCAUCCAGGGAAAUGUAAUUUGCCUGAUGACGCGCUAGUGGAAUGUCUAAUUUCAGUGCAUUUUUGCCAUGUUUCCUCUCCUCACCUCCGUUUCUUCCAGUCCUAGAUGAUGGCGACAUCAUUAGCAACUCAGAAUGUCGGUUGAGGACCUCUUUACUGAGGAAUGUGGUUGUUUGUUUUAUUUUUAUUUUCUUUGAGUAUUUUCUGUGCUGCUGUGAUUGUGAUUUUUGUGUAAUUGUGUGUUGCAAAAGAGUCCUUAGUCUCUGGGACUGCGAAAAUAA